GACGAACGCUGGCGGCGUGCUUAACACAUGCAAGUCGAACGGAAAGGCCCUGCUUUUGUGGGGUGCUCGAGUGGCGAACGGGUGAGUAACACGUGAGUAACCUGCCCUUGACUUUGGGAUAACUUCAGGAAACUGGGGCUAAUACCGUAUAGGAGCUCCUGCUGCAGGGUGGGGGUUGGAAAGUUUCGGCGGUUGGGGAUGGACGCGCGGCUUAUCAGCUUGUUGGUGGGGUAGUGGCUUACCAAGGCUUUGACGGGUAGCCGGCCUGAGAGGGUGACCGGCCACAUUGGGACUGAGAUGCGGCCCAGACUCCGACGGGAGGCAGCAGUGGGGAAUAUUGCACAAUGGGCGGAAGGCUGAUGCAGCAGCGCCGCGUGCGGGAUGACGGCCUUCGGGUUGUAAACCGCUUUCGCCUGUGACGAAGCGUGAGUGACGGUAAUGGGUAAAGAAGCACCGGCUAACUACGUG
Molecule: ribosomal RNA, 468 nt
Filed under: uncultured bacterium
Lineage: Bacteria
Description: partial 16S ribosomal RNA
Rfam family: Bacterial small subunit ribosomal RNA
Source: RNAcentral